GCCCAGACUCCUACGGGAGGCAGCAGUAGGGAAUCUUCCGCAAUGGACGAAAGUCUGACGGAGCAACGCCGCGUGAGUGAUGAAGGCUUUCGGGUCGUAAAACUCUGUUGUUAGGGAAGAACAAGUGCUAGUUGAAUAAGCUGGCACCUUGACGGUACCUAACCAGAAAGCCACGGCUAACGACGUGCCAGCAGCCGCGGUAAUACGUAGGUGGCAAGCGUUAUCCGGAAUUAUUGGGCGUAAAGCGCGCGCAGGUGGUUUCUUAAGUCUGAUGUGAAAGCCCACGGCUCAACCGUGGAGGGUCAUUGGAAACUGGGAGACUUGAGUGCAGAAGAGGAAAGUGGAAUUCCAUGUGUAGCGGUGAAAUGCGUA
RNAcentral lists this ribosomal RNA (372 nucleotides) under Cronobacter sakazakii. RNAcentral describes it as "bacterial SSU rRNA". It matches the Rfam family "Bacterial small subunit ribosomal RNA", at positions 329 to 692 of the family's 1533-position model. Lineage: Bacteria; Pseudomonadati; Pseudomonadota; Gammaproteobacteria; Enterobacterales; Enterobacteriaceae. The record is from RNAcentral.